RNAcentral lists this ribosomal RNA (460 nucleotides) under uncultured Acidimicrobiales bacterium. RNAcentral's name for it is "bacterial SSU rRNA". It matches the Rfam family "Bacterial small subunit ribosomal RNA", at positions 28 to 505 of the family's 1533-position model. Lineage: Bacteria; Bacillati; Actinomycetota; Acidimicrobiia; Acidimicrobiales. The record is from RNAcentral.
GACGAACGCUGGCGGCGUGCCUAAUACAUGCAAGUCGAACGCUCUCGACCUUCGGGUCAUAUGAGAGAGUGGCGAACGGGUGCGUAACACGUGAGAAACCUGCCCCGAAGAUGGGAAUAGCCCGAGGAAACUCGGAUUAAUGCCCAAUACCUUCACAUCAUCGCAUGGUGGAGUGAAGAAAGCUCCGGCGCUUUGGGAGGGUCUCGCGGCCUAUCAGCUUGUUGGUGAGGUAAUGGCUCACCAAGGCAUCGACGGGUAGCUGGUCUGAGAGGACGAUCAGCCACACUGGGACUGAGACACGGCCCAGACUCCUACGGGAGGCAGCAGUAGGGAAUCUUGCGCAAUGGGCGAAAGCCUGACGCAGCAACGCCGCGUGGGGGAUGAAGGCCUUCGGGUUGUAAACCCCUUUCAGCAGGGACGAAAAUGACGGUACCUGCAGAAGAAGAUCCGGCCAACUACG